GUAUUUGUAGACCGGCCGAGGCGGGGAGUGCACUGGAGGAGGCGGCGACUUGUACUUAUAGACUGGCGGAGGCGGGGAGUGCACCGGAGGAGGGGGGGACUUGUACUUGUAGACCGACCGAGGCGGGGAGUGCACCGGAGGAGGCGGCGACUUGUACUUAUAGACUGGCAGAGGGGGGGAGUGCACCGGAGGAGGGGGGGACUUGUACUUGUAGACUGGCCGAGGCGGGGAGUGCACUGGAGGAGGCGGCGACUUGUACUUAUAGACUGGCGGAGGCGGGGAGUGCACCGGAGGAGGGGGGGACUUGUACUUGUAGACCGGCCGAGGCGGGGAGUGCACCGGAGGAGGCGGCGACUUGUACUUAUAGACUGGCGGAGGGGGGGAGUGCACCGGAGGAGGGGGGGACUUGUACUUGUAGACUGGCCGAGGCGGGGAGUGCACCGGAGGAGGGGGGGACUUGUACUUGUAGACCGGUGGAGGCGGGGAGUGCACCGGAGGAGGGGGGGACUUGUAGUGAUAGGGAUGAGUCGGAGGCGGUGGGGACGGCGGGGGAGGAGAUUUCUUGGGAGGCGGAGGAGAAUAGUACCCGUAGUUUGCCGAGGAUUCCAGGGGCAAGCUAAGAGACACUAGCACCACAAGGAGAGUGGAAAGGAGAGGGGCCAUCUUAGCCAUUUUGGCUUAGAGAAAGGGUUUUUGUGGUGCUAUGGACUGGUGCCACCUCCCCCCUUAUAUAGCUUUUGCGUUUAACCUAU
Molecule: long non-coding RNA, 752 nt
Filed under: Eucalyptus grandis
Lineage: Eukaryota; Viridiplantae; Streptophyta; Magnoliopsida; Myrtales; Myrtaceae
Description: long non-coding RNA (EGRA_LNC003782)
Source: RNAcentral